GCUGGGAUAGCUCAGUUUGGUAGAGCAUGAGACUCUUGAUCUCAGAGUUGUGAGUUUGAGGCCCACGCUGAAUG
RNAcentral lists this transfer RNA (74 nucleotides) under Podarcis lilfordi (Lilford's wall lizard). RNAcentral describes it as "tRNA.Lys". The stretch from base 8 to 66 matches the Rfam family "tRNA", at positions 8 to 63 of the family's 71-position model. From Rfam's summary of the family: Transfer RNA (tRNA) molecules are approximately 80 nucleotides in length. Their secondary structure includes four short double-helical elements and three loops (D, anti-codon, and T loops). Further hydrogen bonds mediate the characteristic L-shaped molecular structure. tRNAs have two regions of fundamental functional importance: the anti-codon, which is responsible for specific mRNA codon recognition, and the 3' end, to which the tRNAs corresponding amino acid is attached (by aminoacyl-tRNA synthetases). tRNAs cope with the degeneracy of the genetic code in two manners: having more than one tRNA (with a specific anti-codon) for a particular amino acid; and 'wobble' base-pairing, i.e. permitting non-standard base-pairing at the 3rd anti-codon position. The record is from RNAcentral. Lineage: Eukaryota; Metazoa; Chordata; Lepidosauria; Squamata; Lacertidae.